Molecule: ribosomal RNA, 1499 nt
Filed under: uncultured bacterium
Lineage: Bacteria
Description: partial 16S ribosomal RNA
Rfam family: Bacterial small subunit ribosomal RNA
Source: RNAcentral
AGAGUUUGAUCCUGGCUCAGAUUGAACGCUGGCGGCAGGCCUAACACAUGCAAGUCGAGCGGAUGACGGGAGCUUGCUCCUUGAUUCAGCGGCGGACGGGUGAGUAAUGCCUAGGAAUCUGCCUGGUAGUGGGGGACAACGUUUCGAAAGGAACGCUAAUACCGCAUACGUCCUACGGGAGAAAGCAGGGGACCUUAGGGCCUUGCGCUAUCAGAUGAGCCUAGGUCGGAUUAGCUAGUUGGUGGGGUAAUGGCUCACCAAGGCGACGAUCCGUAACUGGUCUGAGAGGAUGAUCAGUCACACUGGAACUGAGACACGGUCCAGACUCCUACGGGAGGCAGCAGUGGGGAAUAUUGGACAAUGGGCGAAAGCCUGAUCCAGCCAUGCCGCGUGUGUGAAGAAGGUCUUCGGAUUGUAAAGCACUUUAAGUUGGGAGGAAGGGCAGUAAGCUAAUACCUUGCUGUUUUGACGUUACCGACAGAAUAAGCACCGGCUAACUCUGUGCCAGCAGCCGCGGUAAUACAGAGGGUGCAAGCGUUAAUCGGAAUUACUGGGCGUAAAGCGCGCGUAGGUGGUUUGUUAAGUUGGAUGUGAAAGCCCCGGGCUCAACCUGGGAACUGCAUCCAAAACUGGCAAGCUAGAGUACGGUAGAGGGUGGUGGAAUUUCCUGUGUAGCGGUGAAAUGCGUAGAUAUAGGAAGGAACACCAGUGGCGAACGCGACCACCUGGACUGAUACUGACACUGAGGUGCGAAAGCGUGGGUAGCAAACAGGAUUAGAUACCCUGGUAGUCCACGCCCUAAACGAUGUCAACUAGCCGUUGGAAUCCUUGAGAUUUUAGUGGCGCAGCUAACGCAUUAAGUUGACCGCCUGGGGAGUACGGCCGCAAGGUUAAAACUCAAAGGAAUUGACGGGGACCCGCACAAGCGGUGGAUGAUGUGGAUUAAUUCGAUGCAACGCGAAGAACCUUACCAGGCCUUGACAUGCAGAGAACUUUCCAGAGAUGGAUUGGUGCCUUCGGGAACUCUGACACAGGUGCUGCAUGGCUGUCGUCAGCUCGUGUCGUGAGAUGUUGGGUUAAGUCCCGCAACGAGCGCAACCCUUGUCGUUAAUUGCCAUCAUUUAGUUGGGCACUUUAACGAGACUGCCGGUGACAAACCGGAGGAAGGUGGGGAUGACGUCAAGUCCUCAUGGCCCUUAUGGGUAGGGCUUCACACGUCAUACAAUGGUCGGUACAGAGGGUUGCCAAGCCGCGAGGUGGAGCCAAUCCCAGAAAGCCGAUCGUAGUCCGGAUUGCAGGCUGCAACUCGCCUGCAUGAAGUCGGAAUCGCUAGUAAUCGCGGAUCAGCAUGUCGCGGUGAAUACGUUCCCGGGUCUUGUACACACCGCCCGUCACACCAUGGGAGCGGGUUCCGCCAGAAGUAGGUAGCCUAACCGUAAGGAGGGCGCUUACCACGGCGGGGUUCGUGACUGGGGUGAAGUCGUAACAAGGUAGCCGUA